UGGGGAAUAUUGGACAAUGGGCACAAGCCUGAUCCAGCAAUGCCGCGUGAGUGAGGAAGGCCUUAGGGUUGUAAAGCUCUUUCACCCACGACGAUGAUGACGGUAGUGGGAGAAGAAGCCCCGGCUAACUUCGUGCCAGCAGCCGCGGUAAUACGAAGGGGGCGAGCGUUGUUCGGAUUUACUGGGCGUAAAGGGCGCGCAGGCGGCGGACCAAGUCAGGCGUGAAAGCCCCGGGCUUAACCUGGGAGGUGCGUCUGGGACUGGUUUGCUAGAGUUCGGGAGAGGAGAGUGGAAUUCCCAGUGUAGAGGUGAAAUUCGUAGAUAUUGGGAAGAACACCGGUGGCGAAGGCGGCUCUCUGGACCGAGACUGACGCUGAGGCGCGAAAGCGUGGGGAGCAAACAGGAUUAGAUACCC
RNAcentral lists this ribosomal RNA (415 nucleotides) under uncultured bacterium. RNAcentral's name for it is "bacterial SSU rRNA". It matches the Rfam family "Bacterial small subunit ribosomal RNA", at positions 355 to 787 of the family's 1533-position model. The record is from RNAcentral.